UACCCGCUGAACUUAAGAUAUNAAUAAG
This 28-nucleotide ribosomal RNA is filed under the name Emericellopsis donezkii. Its description in RNAcentral is "partial 28S ribosomal RNA". The record is from RNAcentral. Lineage: Eukaryota; Fungi; Ascomycota; Sordariomycetes; Hypocreales; Bionectriaceae.